RNAcentral lists this ribosomal RNA (301 nucleotides) under Nephroselmis pyriformis. RNAcentral describes it as "partial Bacterial small subunit ribosomal RNA". It matches the Rfam family "Bacterial small subunit ribosomal RNA", at positions 1054 to 1377 of the family's 1533-position model. Lineage: Eukaryota; Viridiplantae; Chlorophyta; Nephroselmidophyceae; Nephroselmidales; Nephroselmidaceae. The record is from RNAcentral.
GUCAGCUCGUGUCGUGAGAUGUUCGGUUAAGUCCGGCAACGAGCGCAACCCACAUCCUUAGUUGCCAGCAGUUCGGCUGGGCACUCUGGAGAAACUGCCCGUGAUAAGCGGGAGGAAGGUGUGGAUGACGUCAAGUCCUCAUGGCCCUUACGGGUUGGGCUACACACGUGCUACAAUGGCAUCUACAAUGGGUUAAUCCCCAAAAGAUGUCUCAGUUCGGAUUGGGGUCUGCAACUCGACCCCAUGAAGUCGGAAUCGCUAGUAAUCGCGUAACAGCAUGACGCGGUGAAUACGUUCCCGG